Molecule: long non-coding RNA, 932 nt
Organism: Rattus rattus (black rat)
Lineage: Eukaryota; Metazoa; Chordata; Mammalia; Rodentia; Muridae
Exons: 2
Source: RefSeq, a predicted model, not a curated record
CCUUCUGGGCUCAGGUUUAACUACUCUGUGGGUAAUUAAACAGUUAUCUUUUCCUUUUUCAGGUUGCAUCAUUACUCAGACUUCUGAAGAUUUUUUUUAUGAAAUUCAGUCAAAACAUCCCAUCUCUACAUCCCAGACAUUUCCAAGUGUGUGUGAUAAUAUAUGGAUAAUGACUUAUGGAAUCUGCUUAAAUUAGCAGCAGUGUCUUAAUAAAUGUAUGAUAGCUUUGUUUGACAAUAAGUGUACAUGAUUCUUUUUAAUCUCUACACACAGUCAAGAAUGUGAUUUGGAUGCAUUUUCUUUAAAACUAAAUGUGAGAAAGGGAAAUGGAAACCUGUCUGUAAUAAAAAAUAAUAUAGGUGGAUAUUUUCAUUAAUAUUCCUCCUGUGCACAGAUCUGGCCAGGCUUCAGAGCAGGGCUUUUAAACUAUCCAGUGACCAUUUUUUUUUUUUUUUUUUUUUUUUUUUUUUUUUUGGUUUGUCUCUUUAACUUUGGCUUUCUUGGACUUUUCUUUGCAGACCAGGCUGACUUCACAGAGAUCUGCUUCAGCUCCAAAGUGCUAAUACUAAAUAAUAAACAUAUUAAAUUAUAAAUACCACUCCACCUGGCUCUAGCACCAAUUCUUUACUCAAGAAUUUUUAUCUAUGUAUAUAGGUAUAUAAAAUUGGUAUAUAAGCAUUUAUUUAUAUAAUUUUACCACCUAGGGUAAAAAGCAAGUUUGUAUACUAAAGAGAUAGAUGUAAAUGUUUAUUACAAAAAAGAAUUGUUUCUUGGCUGAAUUUGAUACUGGAAGACACAGUUUUUGAUUUUGUAAUCACAGAUGAGAAUGUUGUACCUUAAUACAUUAUAGAAAAUGGAAGAAGUAUAUUUAGGAUUGUUUCAGAAAUUAGAAAUUCUGUUCUAAUCCUUAUUAAACUUUAAUUACUAAAACA